Hypanus sabinus (Atlantic stingray) is the source of this 888-nucleotide long non-coding RNA. RefSeq lists it as uncharacterized. NCBI's taxonomy places the organism in Eukaryota, Metazoa, Chordata, Chondrichthyes, Myliobatiformes, Dasyatidae. The transcript has 3 exons. The record is from RefSeq and is a predicted model, not a curated record.
CGUCAGGAAGCCGGAGCGAAAGAGGAAGUGAGGGAGAAAAUACUCUCGGGGAGAGAUAGAGAGAGGGGGAAAAUAGAGAAAGAAAGAGAGGUCCGGAGUGAGGAAGAGAGAGAGAUAAAACCGCGGGAGUGGGAGAGGGAAAAGACUGGGUGAGGGUGAGGGAGAGAGAGAGAGAGAGAGAGAGAGAUAAACCGGGAGUGGGAGAGGGAAAAGACUGGGUGAGGGAGAGAGAGAGAGAGGGAGUGAGGGAGAGAGAGUAAAGGGGGACAGAAACACCGGGGAGGGAGAGCAGUGGAAGGGUAGAAUGUGAAACUGGGAGACGGAGGGCAAAACUAGGAGAGAGAGAGCAGAGAGGGGCAGAGUGUGAAACUGUGCAGAGGAGAGAGAGUGAGAUUGCUAUAGACGGAGAGAGAGUGCGAAACAGGGAGAGAAAGAGAGAGAGAGUGAAGUGGAGAGAGAGAGAGGGUGAAACAGGGAGGGAAAGAGAGAGAGGGUGAAACAGGGAGGGAAAGAGUGAGUGAGUGAAGUGGAGAGAGAGAGGAGUGCGAAACAGGGAGAGAAAGAGAGAGAGAGAGUGUGGAAUCGAGACAGAGGGAGAGAUAGGGUGUGAAACCGGGGGGAGGAAGGUAGAGAACGGGGGAGAGCGGCGAGAUGGGGAGCCUGUUUCGCGGCGAGGAGAUGUGUCUGGCCCAACUCUUCCUGCAGACGGGAACGGCCUUCCAGUGCGUGGCCGAGCUGGGCGAGAGGGGGGCUGGUCGAGUUCCGGGAUCUGAACAACGAGGUGAGUCUGUUCCAGCGAAGAUUCGUCGGGGAGAUUCGCAGAUGUGAGGACCUCGAGAGGAGCCUGGCCUACCUGCAGGAGGAGAUGGGCCGCUCGACGUGGAAGGG